CCGGCACGGGUGAGUAACACGUAUCCAACCUGCCGUCUACUCUUGGACAGCCUUCUGAAAGGAAGAUUAAUACAAGAUGGCAUCAUGAGUUCACAUGUUCACAUGAUUAAAGGUAUUCCGGUAGACGAUGGGGAUGCGUUCCAUUAGAUAGUAGGCGGGGUAACGGCCCACCUAGUCUUCGAUGGAUAGGGGUUCUGAGAGGAAGGUCCCCCACAUUGGAACUGAGACACGGCCCAA
Molecule: ribosomal RNA, 237 nt
Filed under: uncultured bacterium
Lineage: Bacteria
Description: partial 16S ribosomal RNA
Rfam family: Bacterial small subunit ribosomal RNA
Source: RNAcentral